This 499-nucleotide ribosomal RNA is filed under the name uncultured bacterium. Its description in RNAcentral is "bacterial SSU rRNA". It matches the Rfam family "Bacterial small subunit ribosomal RNA", at positions 28 to 526 of the family's 1533-position model. The record is from RNAcentral.
GAUGAACGCUGGCGGCGUGCUUAACACAUGCAAGUCGAACGAAGCAACUCAUCAUGAUUCCUUCGGGAUGACGAUUUGUUGACUGAGUGGCGGACGGGUGAGUAACGCGUGGGUAACCUGCCUUAUACAGGGGGAUAGCAGCUGGAAACGGCUGAUAAUACCGCAUAAGCGCACAGCAUCGCAUGAUGCAGUGGGAACAACUCCGGUGGUAUAAGAUGGACCCGCGUCUGAUUAGCUAGUUGGUGAGGUAACGGCCCACCAAGGCAACGAUCAGUAGCCGACCUGAGAGGGUGACCGGCCACAUUGGGACUGAGACACGGCCCAGACUCCUACGGGAGGCAGCAGUGGGGAAUAUUGCACAAUGGAGGAAACUCUGAUGCAGCGACGCCGCGUGAGCGAAGAAGUAUUUCGGUAUGUAAAGCUCUAUCAGCAGGGAAGAUAAUGACGGUACCUGACUAAGAAGCUCCGGCUAAAUACGUGCCAGCAGCCGCAGUAACAC